UGGAGUUGCAGGUAGAUAUACGCUGUAUACCCGUGUAACCGAAUUUACGUUUAAGUGUCAUGUAAUGGCACCGGUCACGGGGCCGCCGUAAGGCGGUUUUUUAGUUA
RNAcentral lists this non-coding RNA (107 nucleotides) under unclassified sequences. RNAcentral's name for it is "DUF3800-I RNA". It matches the Rfam family "DUF3800-I RNA". From Rfam's summary of the family: Actinobacteria, Firmicutes, Fusobacteria, Proteobacteria (1 example), Tenericutes (2 examples). The record is from Rfam by way of RNAcentral.